RNAcentral lists this transfer RNA (77 nucleotides) under Armatimonadota bacterium. RNAcentral's name for it is "Armatimonadetes bacterium (anaerobic digester metagenome) tRNA-Pro". It matches the Rfam family "tRNA". From Rfam's summary of the family: Transfer RNA (tRNA) molecules are approximately 80 nucleotides in length. Lineage: Bacteria; Bacillati; Armatimonadota. The record is from RNAcentral.
CGGGGCGUAGCGCAGUUUGGUAGCGCACUCGGAUGGGGGCCGAGAGGUCGCUGGUUCAAAUCCAGUCGCCCCGACCA